Long non-coding RNA from Stomoxys calcitrans (stable fly), 973 nucleotides. RefSeq lists it as uncharacterized. The record is from RefSeq and is a predicted model, not a curated record. Lineage: Eukaryota; Metazoa; Arthropoda; Insecta; Diptera; Muscidae. The transcript is spliced from 2 exons.
GCAGCUCUACCAAAUAAUUAAAAGUACCAAAUUUACAGCAAAAACAAAAGAAAUAAAAGAAAGAAAGAUAUCCACAUUUGAAGCUACGAAUGCCGAAGCCAUCUAUACGAACAUUACGCCAUAGUUUCCUUCGCGAGCAGGGAAAUAAUGCAUAUUUAGAAAAUGCAAACGACGCAAACUGCAUACCAUUGAGAGCAGAAUUCUGCUUGCGGCAUGUUCUUUUAUUAUCUAUAUUCACAAGCGCCACCAACCAGUCUAUUUUUCGACGUUUACAACUUUUUUCAGACGAAAACCUAAAAAACAGACCAUCUUUACUCCAUAGUCAAAGGAAAUCUAUAGACCCACAACAAAAUGUUCAAAAAAGCUCUUACAGAUGGGUGGAAUGUCAAAUUUGCAGUCGUUUAUAUGUGAGUGCGCAAGGAACCCGGGCGAUAUGGAACGGAGGACAUUUGAGUUAUUUUAUUAACAUUUUGAGUUUCGAAGUCUAUACCAUUCCUUUGUCUAUGCCGACAUCUUAAAAUUUGUUCAAAAAAGCUUCAACAAAUGGAAGAUAUGUCAAAUUUUCAAUUGUUUAUAUUUUAGUAUGCAUGCUACACAUGCGACAAAAGGGAGAACUUGAGCUAUGUUUUUAAAUGUUAAGUUUCAUAGUCUAUACAUAGACAAAGGACAUCUAUAAACUCAUAACAAUGUGUUCAAAAAAGCUCUAACAUGAGGGAGAAAUGUCAAAUUCUCAGUCGUUUUUAUGUGAGUGCGCAAGGAACCCGGGCGACGUGAAACGGAGAACUUUUGAGUUAUUUUAUUUUUUACUUUGUAUUUUGCCGUACUAUAAUAAGCUUAAUUAUGUAUUUGGUUGAACUGAAUACAUUAAUGAACUUUCACUUUGGUUUUCAAUGUUCAUCGGAUGUUGUCCAAAUUUGUCGAAACUGAAAUGUAAGAUAAAAUAUAGGGAUACAAUUGAUUGCACAAGCUUGAA